RNAcentral lists this ribosomal RNA (680 nucleotides) under uncultured Actinomycetales bacterium. RNAcentral describes it as "bacterial SSU rRNA". It matches the Rfam family "Bacterial small subunit ribosomal RNA", at positions 39 to 732 of the family's 1533-position model. The record is from RNAcentral. Lineage: Bacteria; Bacillati; Actinomycetota; Actinomycetes; Actinomycetales.
GCGGCGUGCUUAACACACGCAAGUCGAACGGAAAGGCCCUGCUUGCAGGGUACUCGAGUGGCGAACGGGUGAGUAACACGUGGGUGAUCUGCCCUGCACUUCGGGAUAAGCCUGGGAAACUGGGUCUAAUACCGGAUAGGAGCCAUUUUUAGUGUGAUGGUUGGAAAGUUUUUUCGGUGUAGGAUGAGCUCGCGGCCUAUCAGCUUGUUGGUGGGGUAAUGGCCUACCAAGGCGGCGACGGGUAGCCGGCCUGAGAGGGUGGACGGCCACAUUGGGACUGAGAUACGGCCCAGACUCCUACGGGAGGCAGCAGCGGGGAAUAUUGCACAAUGGGCGCAAGCCUGAUGCAGCGACGCCGCGUGGGGGAUGACGGCCUUCGGGUUGUAAACUCCUUUCGCUAGGGACGAAGCUUUUUGUGACGGUACCUAGAUAAGAAGCACCGGCUAACUACGUGCCAGCAGCCGCGGUAAUACGUAGGGUGCGAGCGUUGUCCGGAAUUACUGGGCGUAAAGGGCUCGUAGGUGGUUUGUCGCGUCGUCUGUGAAAUUCCGGGGCUUAACUCCGGGCGUGCAGGCGAUACGGGCAUAACUUGAGUACUGUAGGGGUAACUGGAAUUCCUGGUGUAGCGGUGAAAUGCGCAGAUAUCAGGAGGAACACCGAUGGCGAAGGCAGGUUACUGG